Molecule: ribosomal RNA, 254 nt
Filed under: uncultured bacterium
Lineage: Bacteria
Description: partial 16S ribosomal RNA
Rfam family: Bacterial small subunit ribosomal RNA
Source: RNAcentral
UACGUAGGGGGCAAGCGUUGUCCGGAAUCAUUGGGCGGAAAGAGCGCGUAGGCGGCCCUGUAAGUCCGCUGUGAAAGUCAAGGGCUCAACCCUUGGAUGCCGGUGGAUACUGCAGGGCUAGAGUCCGGAAGAGGCGAGUGGAAUUCCUGGUGUAGCGGUGAAAUGCGCAGAUAUCGGGAGGAACACCAGUGGCGAAGGCGACUACCUGGCCUGUUUCUUGACGCUGAGGCGCGAAAGCUAGGGGAGCAAACGGG